CGGACGGGUGAGUAACGCGUGGGUAACCUGCCUUGUACUGGGGGACAACAGUUAGAAAUGACUGCUAAUACCGCAUAAGCGCACAGUAUCGCAUGAUACAGUGUGAAAAACUACCGGUGGUACAAGAUGGACCCGCGUCUGAUUAGGUAGUUGGUGGGGUAACGGCCUACCAAGCCAACGAUCAGUAGCCGACCUGAGAGGGUGACCGGCCACAUUGGGACUGAGACACGGCCCAA
This 236-nucleotide ribosomal RNA is filed under the name uncultured bacterium. Its description in RNAcentral is "partial 16S ribosomal RNA". It matches the Rfam family "Bacterial small subunit ribosomal RNA", at positions 99 to 334 of the family's 1533-position model. The record is from RNAcentral.